RNAcentral lists this ribosomal RNA (461 nucleotides) under Brontostoma nanus. Its description in RNAcentral is "partial 28S ribosomal RNA". It matches the Rfam family "Eukaryotic large subunit ribosomal RNA", at positions 712 to 1088 of the family's 3401-position model. The record is from RNAcentral. Lineage: Eukaryota; Metazoa; Arthropoda; Insecta; Hemiptera; Reduviidae.
AGGCAUAAUGAAAGUAAAGGGCAAUUUAAAUAAGUAGCAAUACUUUUUUUAAAUUCCUAAAGGAAGAGAGAUAUUUUUUUUCCUUUGUAUUUUUAAUAUUAAAGGAAAAAAUUAUCUUGCAUUCCUAGGGCGCUUGUAACUCGCAUUGUCGAGUACAUGCGCACCCAAAGCGUACACGAUGAUACCCGAAAGAUGGUGAACUAUGCCUGGCCAGGACGAAGCCAGGGGAAACCCUGGUGGAGGUCCGCAGCGAUUCUGACGUGCAAAUCGAUCGUCAGAGCUGGGUAUAGGGGCGAAAGACCAAUCGAACCAUCUAGUAGCUGGUUCCCUCUGAAGUUUCCCUCAGGAUAGCUUGCGUUCAUUGAUGCGAGUCUCAUCCGGUAGAGCGAAUGAUUAGAGGCAUUGGGGUCGAAACGACCUCAACCUAUUCUCAAACUCCAAAUAGAUGAGAUCCUCGGCUU